GUGAACGCUGGCGGCGUGCUUAAUACAUGCAAGUCGAACGAUGAAGUCCUAGCUUGCUAGGAUGGAUUAGUGGCGCACGGGUGAGUAAUAUAUAGUUAAUCUGCCUUGCACUGAGGAACAACAGUUGGAAACGAUUGCUAAUACCUCAUACUCCAACUUUACAUAAGUUAAGUUGGGAAAGUCUUUUCGGUGCAAGAUGAGACUAUAUCGUAUCAGCUAGUUGGUAAGGUAAUGGCUUACCAAGGCUAUGACGCGUAACUGGUCUGAGAGGAUGAUCAGUCACAUUGGAACUGAGACACGGUCCAAACUCCUACGGGAGGCAGCAGUAAGGAAUAUUGUGCAAUGGGGGAAACCCUGACGCAGCAACGCCGCGUGGAGGAGGACACUUUUCGGAGCGUAAACUCCUUUUGUUAGGGAAGAAUAAUGACGGUACCUAACGAAUAAGCACCGGCUAACUCCGUG
RNAcentral lists this ribosomal RNA (462 nucleotides) under uncultured bacterium. Its description in RNAcentral is "partial 16S ribosomal RNA". It matches the Rfam family "Bacterial small subunit ribosomal RNA", at positions 29 to 507 of the family's 1533-position model. The record is from RNAcentral.